AGUGAACGCUGGCGGUAGGCCUAACAUAUGCAAGUCGAACGGCAGCACAGUAAGAGCUUGCUCUUACGGGUGGCGAGUGGCGGACGGGUGAGGAAUACAUCGGAAUCUACUUUUUCGUGGGGGAUAACGUAGGGAAACUUACGCUAAUACCGCAUACGACCUACGGGUGAAAGCAGGGGAUCUUCGUACCUUGCGCGAUUGAAUGAGCCGAUGUCGGAUUAGCUAGUUGGCGGGGUAAAGGCCCACCAAGGCGACGAUCCGUAGCUGGUCUGAGAGGAUGAUCAGCCACACUGGAACUGAGACACGGUCCAGACUCCUACGGGAGGCAGCAGUGGGGAAUAUUGGACAAUGGGCGCAAGCCUGAUCCAGCCAUACCGCGUGGGUGAAGAAGGCCUUCGGGUUGUAAAGCCCUUUUGUUGGGAAAGAAAAGCAGCAGGUUAAUACCCCGCUGUUCUGACGGUACCCAAAGAAUAAGCACCGGCUAACUUCGUG
RNAcentral lists this ribosomal RNA (492 nucleotides) under uncultured bacterium. RNAcentral describes it as "partial 16S ribosomal RNA". It matches the Rfam family "Bacterial small subunit ribosomal RNA", at positions 29 to 507 of the family's 1533-position model. The record is from RNAcentral.